This is a long non-coding RNA of Larimichthys crocea (large yellow croaker), 2409 nucleotides long. RefSeq lists it as uncharacterized. The transcript is spliced from 4 exons. The record is from RefSeq and is a predicted model, not a curated record. NCBI's taxonomy places the organism in Eukaryota, Metazoa, Chordata, Actinopteri, Sciaenidae.
UGUGUGUGUUUAUGGGAAAAAAAAACCCAGGCAGGUAUUCACAGGUUCUCGGCUUUCUUCCCCUUCCCUCCCUAUUGUUGCUGAUUCCCUCACUGAAAGGGGAACUUCAAAUUCUUUUUAAAAGGACUUUUAGCAAACACACACAGACACCUGAAAGGACACAACAACAAACUCCACAGAGUCCAUUUUAAGGCACCGGCAUUGGUGUGGCUUUCUUCCAUUCAUUUCCCUCCUCUCCCGUCCUCCUUCCACUUUUCACUCCCUCCCAUAGCAUUCCAGUGUAUUCUCCCUUCAUUCCACCUCCACUCCUCUACGAUGACCACCCUUGCUCCUGCUCCUCAACCGAGAGGCAUCGACCUCAGCCUGCCCACCUGUGGACAGACUCAGUGCAAUAGCCAUGGCACCUGCGUUGUACCUCCUGGUGGUGGCACUGAUUUGGUGUGUGAAUGUGAGCUUGGCUACCGGGGGGAAUCCUGCGAGGACACGGUCAACGGGGCGUUAAGUUUACCACUGACUCUGAGUGUGUUGGCAGUCAUCAUCGGGGUGCUGACCAUCGCGUUCAUCGCUGCCAAAAUUAGGCAGAGGCAAAAGAAAAGGAACAGGAAACGUCUGGCAGAAAAACAUGGCUACAACAUUGCUGUGUAAUGUGGAUAAAUCUCAAUCAUAUCUGAGGUCAACCAUGAAAUAAUGGCCAGCGAUACUAUUGGGCUUCCAUCAGCAUCCUUCUGCAGCAAGCUUACGGCGCAGUUUGUUGAAUGUUGUGUGAUGUUUGUUAAAAGCGAAUCAAAUUUGCUGUUCUCGGCUGACUUGUGCCUGCCACUCUACGACUGAUUGUCCCAGAAACUCAAACUGAUGAACUGAGCAACAGUGAAUUUCUGCAGAUGUUUUUCAGACAUCAUUUGAUAAUGGAAAAAAAAAAUCCAACUCUAAAUUAUAUCCCAACACACAUGAUUUAUUGAGAGAAAAUGACAUGCAUGUAUUUCAGAGCUCUCAAACUGUUGGUGGUUAGUGGAUGACUCACAGUAUGUUUAGAGGUACACUAGUGUCUCAUUACAGCAGAGACUUUAAGCUGAUGUUGACAUAAUACAGUGCAUCUAUGCUGUUUGCUAACUUUAAAACUUAAUACAUUUAUGGAGUUACAAUUUUAAAAAAAAGCAUGCCCAUAGAAAAUUGAUAUGUGGGAAACCAGUCUAGGAAUGGAAGGUUUUGUCACUACGUUUAUUUGCUUAUUAGCACUGUAAAAAUGCCUUUGAUUUCUUAUCACCAGCUACAAGUUCUGAAUUUGAAUGUUUUUCUGAAAUGCAAUGCAACUGCAAUUCACUGAUAUCUGUUUGUUUUAAUAUUCAUAGUGUUAUUUAUAGAAGACUAGAACAUUUUGGUGUUCUAUUUGUCUAUACUCCUAAUGAAAAUCUUCUUUGAAAAUAUGUCAAAGCUGAUCGCGUCCUCUAACACCAGCUACAUUUAAGGAGCAGUGACUUCCUUAAAAUACAGGGAAAGCAGAGGUGACUGCCACAGCGAUUGAGACAUAUUAUUACUGCUGUUUCUUUUAUACUUAAAGGAGCGAGUUCAUACAGGUACUGAUAACCCACUCUGUAAGAACAGAUGUUUGCACAGCUAUCCAAUACAAUUCAUAAAUAUACAGAUACACUUUGACCAGCAUGAUGUGGUUUUAGUCAGUUGUUGUCAACAAGAUUAAAACAUUUUUUUUACACUUUGUGUAUUUGCUGCUUAAUCAUGCUAUACUCCCUGAAAUGAUCUACUUUUAGCCUCUGGUGAGAUUCUUCUUGUUUUGUUUUUUUAUUUCUUUAAGAAGAAUCUGUUUUGCUUCCAGGCGAACGUAAUCAGAAUUUAAUGCACUUCUGGGCAGAAAAACACCUAUACAUCACUGUCAUCCUUUAUCUCUGCUUCCUGUUUGAAUAAAAACAAAAGGUGUGUUCAAUUUGUUAUCAGAGAUAACCUGCAAAAAAUUGACAUCUGACGGGAAAGACUGACGGAAAACAAGUUCUGAAAGUAAGCAGGGACAGAAUCACUUCACCAUACUGUGCACUUUGUUUCAUGCUUACUGUGUUAAUGUUUUAAAUUAGACCCUGUGCUCUCUGAAUUUUGAAAAUCAAAGCUAGACAGUGGUCCCCUGCUUGAUUUGGUCCUUACUGAGUACUGAGUGCUGUAUUGUCUGUUUGUUUUGUACAUUACUGUCUGAAUAACCGUUUUACACAAUAUGAUGUUUUGUAACUCUAAUGAUACCCACGCACAUUAGAAAGAUGCAUACAUGUUUUUAUGUCUCGUCUAUAUCUCGAAUUACACAAAUGAAUACAGUAAUUCAUGUAGUCAGACAUGUUAAAUGUUAAACACAGUGUGUGAUGGACGCACUGAGCAUGUGAUUUUUGUAUAUAAACGCAUUGUAAAUGA